CAGCCGCCGCGGUAAUACGUAGGUGGCAAGCGUUGUCCGGAAUUAUUGGGCGUAAAGGGCUCGCAGGCGGUUUCUUAAGUCUGAUGUGAAAGCCCCCGGCUCAACCGGGGAGGGUCAUUGGAAACUGGGAAACUUGAGUGCAGAAGAGGAGAGUGGAAUUCCACGUGUAGCGGUGAAAUGCGUAGAGAUGUGGAGGAACACCAGUGGCGAAGGCGACUCUCUGGUCUGUAACUGACGCUGAGGAGCGGAAGCGUGGGGAGCAAACAGGAUUAGAUACCCGCGCAGUCCCUGUCUCUUAUAC
Molecule: ribosomal RNA, 301 nt
Filed under: uncultured bacterium
Lineage: Bacteria
Description: partial 16S ribosomal RNA
Rfam family: Bacterial small subunit ribosomal RNA
Source: RNAcentral